Molecule: small nucleolar RNA, 238 nt
Organism: Vulpes vulpes (red fox)
Lineage: Eukaryota; Metazoa; Chordata; Mammalia; Carnivora; Canidae
Gene: SNORD17
Product: small nucleolar RNA, C/D box 17
Source: Ensembl
GUGAAGUGAUGAUUCAGUUUAUCCAUUCGCUGAGUGCACUGUACUGACCUUCUUCCAAGCCUUGGUUCCUGUUCUAGGAACUCGGGGCUACGUAGCCUCCAAAUGCCCUGCAGUUUGCGGUGUUCUACCGUGGACAGCUUGUGUGUCGGUAGACUACUGGUUAGAAUGGUUGGUGUCAGUAGGGAUGGGGUCCCUCUGGGUCCCAUCUCACCAAGAUGAGUGGUGGAAAUCUGAUCAC